AGUCAUUGCGGCCCCCUGGGAGACCCACUUGAUGACGUGACAUUCCCAAGGAGACGAUGAAGUCAAACCGAGCUGGCUGAUUCCAGCUGGAGAGCUCAUUUAUAACUUUCUCAAGCUGCAAAGGAGGUGGAGCUUCCCAGGGGACCACAGCUCCAGACAGAGCUGAGAAGAGGUAGACCUGGAACUGGGAGCUGUAUUUAGACACAAUGCCUUCCAGAGAAAGAAGCCAACAUGGAGAGAAGCAGAUGUGAACGAGAGAAGAACAGAUCCCAGGUAGCUGUUGGUCCAAGGGAAAUGGAAGAUGAGUGGAGCUGACCUGAACCCUGACCUGUGUCCUGAAGCAGAGCUCCCUGACGCUA
This is a long non-coding RNA of Mustela erminea (ermine), 359 nucleotides long. RefSeq lists it as uncharacterized. The transcript has 3 exons. NCBI's taxonomy places the organism in Eukaryota, Metazoa, Chordata, Mammalia, Carnivora, Mustelidae. The record is from RefSeq and is a predicted model, not a curated record.